CCCGGCGACCGGCGCACGGGUGAGUAACACGUAUGCAACCUGGCCGCCACAGGGGGAUAACCCGCGGAAACGCGGCCUAAUACCCCGUGACGCCACCGGAGGGCAUCCUCCGGUGGCCAAAGGAGCGAUCCGGUGGCGGAUGGGCAUGCGGCGCAUUAGCUAGACGGCGGGGUGACGGCCCACCGUGGCGACGAUGCGUAGGGGUUCUGAGAGGAAGGCCCCCCCACACUGGGACUGAGACACGGCCCAGACUCCUACGGGAGGCAGCAG
This 270-nucleotide ribosomal RNA is filed under the name uncultured bacterium. RNAcentral describes it as "partial 16S ribosomal RNA". It matches the Rfam family "Bacterial small subunit ribosomal RNA", at positions 87 to 354 of the family's 1533-position model. The record is from RNAcentral.